Molecule: ribosomal RNA, 3825 nt
Filed under: Staphylococcus argenteus
Lineage: Bacteria; Bacillati; Bacillota; Bacilli; Caryophanales; Staphylococcaceae
Description: bacterial LSU rRNA
Rfam family: Bacterial large subunit ribosomal RNA
Source: RNAcentral
UUAAGUUAUUAAGGGCGCACGGUGGAUGCCUUGGCACUAGAAGCCGAUGAAGGACGUUACUAACGACGAUAUGCUUUGGGGAGCUGUAAGUAAGCUUUGAUCCAGAGAUUUCCGAAUGGGGAAACCCAACAUGAGUUAUGUCAUGUUAUCGAUAUGUGAAUACAUAGCAUAUCAGAAGGCACACCCGGAGAACUGAAACAUCUUAGUACCCGGAGGAAGAGAAAGAAAAUUCGAUUCCCUUAGUAGCGGCGAGCGAAACGGGAAGAGCCCAAACCAACAAGCUUGCUUGUUGGGGUUGUAGGACACUCUAUACGGAGUUACAAAGGACGACAUUAGACGAAUCAUCUGGAAAGAUGAAUCAAAGAAGGUAAUAAUCCUGUAGUCGAAAAUGUUGUCUCUCUUGAGUGGAUCCUGAGUACGACGGAGCACGUGAAAUUCCGUCGGAAUCUGGGAGGACCAUCUCCUAAGGCUAAAUACUCUCUAGUGACCGAUAGUGAACCAGUACCGUGAGGGAAAGGUGAAAAGCACCCCGGAAGGGGAGUGAAAUAGAACCUGAAACCGUGUGCUUACAAGUAGUCAGAGCCCGUUAAUGGGUGAUGGCGUGCCUUUUGUAGAAUGAACCGGCGAGUUACGAUUUGAUGCAAGGUUAAGCAGUAAAUGUGGAGCCGUAGCGAAAGCGAGUCUGAAUAGGGCGUUUAGUAUUUGGUCGUAGACCCGAAACCAGGUGAUCUACCCUUGGUCAGGUUGAAGUUCAGGUAACACUGAAUGGAGGACCGAACCGACUUACGUUGAAAAGUGAGCGGAUGAACUGAGGGUAGCGGAGAAAUUCCAAUCGAACCUGGAGAUAGCUGGUUCUCUCCGAAAUAGCUUUAGGGCUAGCCUCAAGUGAUGAUUAUUGGAGGUAGAGCACUGUUUGGACGAGGGGCCCCUCUCGGGUUACCGAAUUCAGACAAACUCCGAAUGCCAAUUAAUUUAACUUGGGAGUCAGAACAUGGGUGAUAAGGUCCGUGUUCGAAAGGGAAACAGCCCAGACCACCAGCUAAGGUCCCAAAAUAUAUGUUAAGUGGAAAAGGAUGUGGCGUUGCCCAGACAACUAGGAUGUUGGCUUAGAAGCAGCCAUCAUUUAAAGAGUGCGUAAUAGCUCACUAGUCGAGUGACACUGCGCCGAAAAUGUACCGGGGCUAAACAUAUUACCGAAGCUGUGGAUUGUCCUUUGGACAAUGGUAGGAGAGCGUUCUAAGGGCGUUGAAGCAUGAUCGUAAGGACAUGUGGAGCGCUUAGAAGUGAGAAUGCCGGUGUGAGUAGCGAAAGACGGGUGAGAAUCCCGUCCACCGAUUGACUAAGGUUUCCAGAGGAAGGCUCGUCCGCUCUGGGUUAGUCGGGUCCUAAGCUGAGGCCGACAGGCGUAGGCGAUGGAUAACAGGUUGAUAUUCCUGUACCACCUAUAAUCGUUUUAAUCGAUGGGGGGACGCAGUAGGAUAGGCGAAGCGUGCGAUUGGAUUGCACGUCUAAGCAGUAAGGCUGAGNGCGAGUUACGAUUUGAUGCAAGGUUAAGCAGUAAAUGUGGAGCCGUAGCGAAAGCGAGUCUGAAUAGGGCGUUUAGUAUUUGGUCGUAGACCCGAAACCAGGUGAUCUACCCUUGGUCAGGUUGAAGUUCAGGUAACACUGAAUGGAGGACCGAACCGACUUACGUUGAAAAGUGAGCGGAUGAACUGAGGGUAGCGGAGAAAUUCCAAUCGAACCUGGAGAUAGCUGGUUCUCUCCGAAAUAGCUUUAGGGCUAGCCUCAAGUGAUGAUUAUUGGAGGUAGAGCACUGUUUGGACGAGGGGCCCCUCUCGGGUUACCGAAUUCAGACAAACUCCGAAUGCCAAUUAAUUUAACUUGGGAGUCAGAACAUGGGUGAUAAGGUCCGUGUUCGAAAGGGAAACAGCCCAGACCACCAGCUAAGGUCCCAAAAUAUAUGUUAAGUGGAAAAGGAUGUGGCGUUGCCCAGACAACUAGGAUGUUGGCUUAGAAGCAGCCAUCAUUUAAAGAGUGCGUAAUAGCUCACUAGUCGAGUGACACUGCGCCGAAAAUGUACCGGGGCUAAACAUAUUACCGAAGCUGUGGAUUGUACUUUGGACAAUGGUAGGAGAGCGUUCUAAGGGCGUUGAAGCAUGAUCGUAAGGACAUGUGGAGCGCUUAGAAGUGAGAAUGCCGGUGUGAGUAGCGAAAGACGGGUGAGAAUCCCGUCUACCGAUUGACUAAGGUUUCCAGAGGAAGGCUCGUCCGCUCUGGGUUAGUCGGGUCCUAAGCUGAGGCCGACAGGCGUAGGCGAUGGAUAACAGGUUGAUAUUCCUGUACCACCUAUAAUCGUUUUAAUCGAUGGGGGGACGCAGUAGGAUAGGCGAAGCGUGCGAUUGGAUUGCACGUCUAAGCAGUAAGGCUGAGUAUUAGGCAAAUCCGGUACUCAUUAAGGCUGAGCUGUGAUGGGGAGAAGACAUUGUGUCUUCGAGUCGUUGAUUUCACACUGCCGAGAAAAGCCUCUAGAUAGAAAAUAGGUGCCCGUACCGCAAACCGACACAGGUAGUCAAGAUGAGAAUUCUAAGGUGAGCGAGCGAACUCUCGUUAAGGAACUCGGCAAAAUGACCCCGUAACUUCGGGAGAAGGGGUGCUCUUUAGGGUUAACGCCCAGAAGAGCCGCAGUGAAUAGGCCCAAGCGACUGUUUAUCAAAAACACAGGUCUCUGCUAAACCGUAAGGUGAUGUAUAGGGGCUGACGCCUGCCCGGUGCUGGAAGGUUAAGAGGAGUGGUUAGCUUCUGCGAAGCUACGAAUCGAAGCCCCAGUAAACGGCGGCCGUAACUAUAACGGUCCUAAGGUAGCGAAAUUCCUUGUCGGGUAAGUUCCGACCCGCACGAAAGGCGUAACGAUUUGGGCACUGUCUCAACGAGAGACUCGGUGAAAUCAUAGUACCUGUGAAGAUGCAGGUUACCCGCGACAGGACGGAAAGACCCCGUGGAGCUUUACUGUAGCCUGAUAUUGAAAUUCGGCACAGCUUGUACAGGAUAGGUAGGAGCCUUUGAAACGUGAGCGCUAGCUUACGUGGAGGCGCUGGUGGGAUACUACCCUAGCUGUGUUGGCUUUCUAACCCGCACCACUUAUCGUGGUGGGAGACAGUGUCAGGCGGGCAGUUUGACUGGGGCGGUCGCCUCCUAAAAGGUAACGGAGGCGCUCAAAGGUUCCCUCAGAAUGGUUGGAAAUCAUUCAUAGAGUGUAAAGGCAUAAGGGAGCUUGACUGCGAGACCUACAAGUCGAGCAGGGUCGAAAGACGGACUUAGUGAUCCGGUGGUUCCGCAUGGAAGGGCCAUCGCUCAACGGAUAAAAGCUACCCCGGGGAUAACAGGCUUAUCUCCCCCAAGAGUUCACAUCGACGGGGAGGUUUGGCACCUCGAUGUCGGCUCAUCGCAUCCUGGGGCUGUAGUCGGUCCCAAGGGUUGGGCUGUUCGCCCAUUAAAGCGGUACGCGAGCUGGGUUCAGAACGUCGUGAGACAGUUCGGUCCCUAUCCGUCGUGGGCGUAGGAAAUUUGAGAGGAGCUGUCCUUAGUACGAGAGGACCGGGAUGGACAUACCUCUGGUGUACCAGUUGUCGUGCCAACGGCAUAGCUGGGUAGCUAUGUGUGGACGGGAUAAGUGCUGAAAGCAUCUAAGCAUGAAGCCCCCCUCAAGAUGAGAUUUCCCAACUUCGGUUAUAAGAUCCCUCAAAGAUGAUGAGGUUAAUAGGUUCGAGGUGGAAGCAUGGUGACAUGUGGAGCUGACGAAUACUAAUCGAUCGAAGACUUAAUCAA